GGGACACGUGGUAUCCUGUCUGAAUAUGGGGGGACCAUCCUCCAAGGCUAAAUACUCCUGACUGACCGAUAGUGAACCAGUACCGUGAGGGAAAGGCGAAAAGAACCCCGGCGAGGGGAGUGAAAAAGAACCUGAAACCGUGUACGUACAAGCAGUGGGAGCACGCUUAGGCGUGUGACUGCGUACCUUUUGUAUAAUGGGUCAGCGACUUAUAUUCUGUAGCAAGGUUAACCGAAUAGGGGAGCCGAAGGGAAACCGAGUCUUAACUGGGCGUUAAGUUGCAGGGUAUAGACCCGAAACCCGGUGAUCUAGCCAUGGGCAGGUUGAAGGUUGGGUAACACUAACUGGAGGACCGAACCGACUAAUGUUGAAAAAUUAGCGGAUGACUUGUGGCUGGGGGUGAAAGGCCAAUCAAACCGGGAGAUAGCUGGUUCUCCCCGAAAGCUAUUUAGGUAGCGCCUCGUGAAUUCAUCUCCGGGGGUAGAGCACUGUUUCGGCAAGGGGGUCAUCCCGACUUACCAACCCGAUGCAAACUGCGAAUACCGGAGAAUGUUAUCACGGGAGACACACGGCGGGUGCUAACGUCCGUCGUGAAGAGGGAAACAACCCAGACCGCCAGCUAAGGUCCCAAAGUCAUGGUUAAGUGGGAAACGAUGUGGGAAGGCCCAGACAGCCAGGAUGUUGGCUUAGAAGCAGCCAUCAUUUAAAGAAAGCGUAAUAGCUCACUGGUCGAGUCGGCCUGCGCGGAAGAUGUAACGGGGCUAAACCAUGCACCGAAGCUGCGGCAGCGACGCUUAUGCGUUGUUGGGUAGGGGAGCGUUCUGUAAGCCUGUGAAGGUGUGCUGUGAGGCAUGCUGGAGGUAUCAGAAGUGCGAAUGCUGACAUAAGUAACGAUAAAGCGGGUGAAAAGCCCGCUCGCCGGAAGACCAAGGGUUCCUGUCCAACGUUAAUCGGGGCAGGGUGAGUCGACCCCUAAGGCGAGGCCGAAAGGCGUAGUCGAUGGGAAACAGGUUAAUAUUCCUGUACUUGGUGUUACUGCGAAGGGGGGACGGAGAAGGCUAUGUUGGCCGGGCGACGGUUGUCCCGGUUUAAGCGUGUAGGCUGGUUUUCCAGGCAAAUCCGGAAAAUCAAGGCUGAGGCGUGAUGACGAGGCACUACGGUGCUGAAGCAACAAAUGCCCUGCUUCCAGGAAAAGCCUCUAAGCAUCAGGUAACAUCAAAUCGUACCCCAAACCGACACAGGUGGUCAGGUAGAGAAUACCAAGGCGCUUGAGAGAACUCGGGUGAAGGAACUAGGCAAAAUGGUGCCGUAACUUCGGGAGAAGGCACGCUGAUAUGUAGGUGAAGUCCCUCGCGGAUGGAGCUGAAAUCAGUCGAAGAUACCAGCUGGCUGCAACUGUUUAUUAAAAACACAGCACUGUGCAAACACGAAAGUGGACGUAUACGGUGUGACGCCUGCCCGGUGCCGGAAGGUUAAUUGAUGGGGUCAGCGCAAGCGAAGCUCUUGAUCGAAGCCCCGGUAAACGGCGGCCGUAACUAUAACGGUCCUAAGGUAGCGAAAUUCCUUGUCGGGUAAGUUCCGACCUGCACGAAUGGCGUAAUGAUGGCCAGGCUGUCUCCACCCGAGACUCAGUGAAAUUGAACUCGCUGUGAAGAUGCAGUGUACCCGCGGCAAGACGGAAAGACCCCGUGAACCUUUACUAUAGCUUGACACUGAACAUUGAGCCUUGAUGUGUAGGAUAGGUGGGAGGCUUAGAAGUGUGGACGCCAGUCUGCAUGGAGCCGACCUUGAAAUACCACCCUUUAAUGUUUGAUGUUCUAACGUGGACCCGUAAUCCGGGUUGCGGACAGUGUCUGGUGGGUAGUUUGACUGGGGCGGUCUCCUCCUAAAGAGUAACGGAGGAGCACGAAGGUUGGCUAAUCCUGGUCGGACAUCAGGAGGUUAGUGCAAUGGCAUAAGCCAGCUUGACUGCGAGCGUGACGGCGCGAGCAGGUGCGAAAGCAGGUCAUAGUGAUCCGGUGGUUCUGAAUGGAAGGGCCAUCGCUCAACGGAUAAAAGGUACUCCGGGGAUAACAGGCUGAUACCGCCCAAGAGUUCAUAUCGACGGCGGUGUUUGGCACCUCGAUGUCGGCUCAUCACAUCCUGGGGCUGAAGUAGGUCCCAAGGGUAUGGCUGUUCGCCAUUUAAAGUGGUACGCGAGCUGGGUUUAGAACGUCGUGAGACAGUUCGGUCCCUAUCUGCCGUGGGCGCUGGAGAACUGAGGGGGGCUGCUCCUAGUACGAGAGGACCGGAGUGGACGCAUCACUGGUGUUCGGGUUGUCAUGCCAAUGGCACUGCCCGGUAGCUAAAUGCGGAAGAGAUAAGUGCUGAAAGCAUCUAAGCACGAAACUUGCC
Molecule: ribosomal RNA, 2394 nt
Filed under: Escherichia coli
Lineage: Bacteria; Pseudomonadati; Pseudomonadota; Gammaproteobacteria; Enterobacterales; Enterobacteriaceae
Description: bacterial LSU rRNA
Rfam family: Bacterial large subunit ribosomal RNA
Source: RNAcentral